Acromyrmex echinatior (Panamanian leafcutter ant) is the source of this 893-nucleotide long non-coding RNA. Lineage: Eukaryota; Metazoa; Arthropoda; Insecta; Hymenoptera; Formicidae. The record is from RefSeq and is a predicted model, not a curated record.
UCAAAACAGUACACCUCCAAAUUUUCAGACAUUGAAAAAAUGUUAUUAUUGGAACUCAUUGAAGAUGUAAGAAACAUUGUGGAGAGUACAAAAAUUGAUGAUCCAAGUUUAGAAAGAAAGAAGACAACUUGGGAUCUUAUUAAAGAGCAAUAUGCGAAUAAUGCAACAAACAAUGGUUUUCCUCUAAGAGCAUGUGCACAAUUAAAAAGAUGCUGAGUGAAUUUAAAAUAUAGAUGCAGACGAUCAGAUUCAGAAAAGAAACAGCAUCAAUUACAAACUGGUGGUGGUCCACCAAUAAUAACUGAUGAUGAUGAAGAAGACAUGCACGAAAAAGUUCACAGUAUUGUUCCAACAAUUGAUUUUAUGAUGAAAAAUUAAUGGGAUAGUACAUAUGAAAUCGAAAAAAACAUGAAAGAUACGGAACAUAUAUUUAGAGGAGAAGAGAUGAGAAAUAAGCUAAAUUUUAAUCAAGAUAAAAAAGAAAACUACAAUGAUAAUAAUGAAAAUUGCCUUUUGCUGCUGAUUUAAAUGCCACUGCUGGUUUAAGUAAGAAAAAUUUAUUUUGUUUUUAGUAUGGAUUAUGAUCAUUAGAAGGGAAAAUUUUUUUAUAAAAUAUGUUUAACCAUAAAUAAUGCUAGGAGUGGAAUUGAAAAAAUGCCAGAAAGUAUUGAUAUUUCCUUGAACAAACAUUUUUCUAAUAAUAAGUCUAGUGCAAUUGGUAAGUAGGAUAGACCGGGGAUAGCUGACUACAAGCAUGAUCUAAUAAUGAAUGUUCUAUUAAAUAAUUUUCAAUCCAAGAGCAAUAAAUUCAUGACAGAAUCAAUAAAUAGCGUUUAUUGAUUUAACAGAAACGCUGCUAUCUCAUAUUAGGUGUCUAUCUCAUAAUGGAGACU